CCUCCUAACCCAGACUCAAAGGCCAAAGGGGAAGGCUUCCAGAGAGGAGGACAUGAUGUAAGGAGCUGGAGCAUGGGCGCUGGUCUGUGGGCCCAGCACUCACCCCUCUAGGGCAGGGAGGAGGGACAGAAAGCCUGGUUUCUUCUGUGAUUCUAUCAGGGAUUCUCCCUCACUCUUCAGCGGCUAUGGUUGCCACAAAUUCUGUUCCCUGAUCCUUCAGAUCAGAAAGACUGUGGAUUUUCUGUCAGUUUAAGACACCUGUCAGGAUACUGAUGGCAGCUUGCUUUCAGGCUAAGCCAUAAAAUCAGGAGACUCAUCUCAUAUGAUUUCCUUCUUCCAAGUAUCACUUUCCAUUUAGAAUCUGCCUGCUUUUGCAUAUUCUCCAAGACCUUCAGUGCAACAUUCACCUACAGUUCUUCAAGUAUCAGAAAGAAAGAUGUAGUCACUGAACUGCCACCCUCCAUCACUGCGUUACUGAUGCCAGCCUAUCACAGCCUUUGAAACAACGUAAGAGGAAGAAAUCAAGAUCCUAACAUCUUCGUUCCUCAUCACCGACUCCUGACUGUGAGCCCUCAUCGUAUAUAAGCCCCUAGACUCCUCACGGAGGAAGGGGGAACAUUUCUUGAGCCAUGAACCUACUGUGUUCCCCUCUCCACGGACAGAAUAAAACCACCU
Long non-coding RNA from Odocoileus virginianus texanus, 675 nucleotides. RefSeq lists it as uncharacterized. Lineage: Eukaryota; Metazoa; Chordata; Mammalia; Artiodactyla; Cervidae. The record is from RefSeq and is a predicted model, not a curated record.